Molecule: ribosomal RNA, 607 nt
Filed under: uncultured Actinomycetes bacterium
Lineage: Bacteria; Bacillati; Actinomycetota; Actinomycetes
Description: bacterial SSU rRNA
Rfam family: Bacterial small subunit ribosomal RNA
Source: RNAcentral
UUUGUGCGACGCAGCUAACGCAUUAAGCGCCCCGCCUGGGGAGUACGAUCGCAAGAUUAAAACUCAAAGGAAUUGGCGGGGCCCCGCACAAGCAGCGGAGCAUGCGGCUUAAUUCGACGCAACGCGAAGAACCUUACCAAGGCUUGACAUAUACAGGAAUACGGCAGAGAUGUCGUAGCCGCAAGGUCUGUAUACAGGUGGUGCAUGGUUGUCGUCAGCUCGUGUCGUGAGAUGUUGGGUUAAGUCCCGCAACGAGCGCAACCCUCGUUCUGUGUUGCCAGCAUUUAGUUGGGGACUCACAGGAGACUGCCGGGGUUAACUCGGAGGAAGGUGGGGAUGACGUCAAAUCAUCAUGCCCCUUAUGUCUUGGGCUGCACGCAUGCUACAAUGGCUGGUACAAACGGCUGCGAUACCGCAAGGUGGAGCGAAUCCGAGAAAGCCAGUCUCAGUUCGGAUUGGGGUCUGCAACUCGACCCCAUGAAGUCGGAGUUGCUAGUAAUCGUAGAUCAGCAACGCUACGGUGAAUACGUUCCCGGGGCUUGUACACACCGCCCGUCACAUCACGAAAGUCGGUAACACCCAAAGUCAGUGGCCCAACCGCAAGGAG